Molecule: long non-coding RNA, 1765 nt
Filed under: Felis catus (domestic cat)
Lineage: Eukaryota; Metazoa; Chordata; Mammalia; Carnivora; Felidae
Description: lncRNA (ENSFCAG00000049516.1)
Source: RNAcentral
GGCAGGGUUCUUCCGAAGGGGACCCCACCCCCCCCCCACACCCUGCUAGCACGAAAAGCCUGGGAGCAUGAUUGGUCCGGCGGUACAGGCGCGGCUCAGACUAGUCUUGCUGUCGAGGAGGUGGAGGUCAUGAGGAUUGCAGAGGACAGAAGCCCGCAGGCACCUUCGGUGGCCACUGGCGCCUCCUCCUCUUUCCGGGAGUGAUGGAGGAAGCUGCCUCCAGGAGGACCAGAUGUGGGUGGGCUCUGGGAGGCUCCUAGCCUCCUGUGGAGGCCAGAUAGGCAGGGGAUUCAGACUGGAAGGAGAGGCCUGAGGAACUACGUUUUUGGCCAUUCUUUCCCUCACUAGUUGUUAGAUGGGCUGACUUACCUUCCUAUACCUGCGUCCUCGCCUGUAAAAUGGGUCAUCUUUCUAUUUAUGCCAGGAUUAUUGGGAAGAUAAAUGAGACCCUAUUCUGAAAGCGUGCAGCACGUAGAGAAAACUGGGGCCGCACCCCAGCUAUCCGUAUGGUCUUGUCUCUCUGGGCCAUUGUCCCUCAGACUGCCUCUGCAAGGAAGCACAGACUGGUGCCAUGGAAAGCCCGCAAGGAGAGGUCCCAUGGAAAGGCCUGGCGUGGGCAUUGUAGCCAAUAGCCCAGUCGUCUCAGCAAACACGACGACCCUGAUCUUCUGUGGCCAGAGGGGCAUCUUCCUCCCUUACAGGACCUGGAACCGACACACCUUCCCUCAGCUCCCAAAUACUGCCCCCCCAGCACCCGCUGAGUGACAGCACUGACCCCCAGCACCCGCUAAGGGACAGCACCGCCCCCCAGCACCUGCUGGGUGACAGCACUGCCCCCCAGCACCCGCUGAGUGACAGCACUGACCCCCAGUACCCGCUGAGUGGUCAGGGUGUUAUCAAUGCUUUCACCCAAAUCUGAGCACUGACACCUCUCUACAUUUGGGAGGUGACAGGAGCCCCUCCAAGCUCUGUCUGCAUGGGACGCUGCCUGGCCCACUGGCUCCCCCGGGUGCUGCUGUUCAUUCUCCUUGGACCGCUGCACCUGGUGAGAGGUGAGCUUCCUUGUGCCUCCUCUUUGGCACUUCCAGACCUGUCUCUUCCCUAGCACAAAAGCCCUAGAUUUGAACCUCAUAUCAUCAGAUCUUAACUUGUUGAAGUUGUCUGCAUGCCUGGGGGCUUCCCUAAAAUCCUUCCUGUUUUACUCCUGAUUCCCUGUCACUUUCCCCAACCACUCCUGUCAUAGUUCCUGGUGAUCUCAGAAUCCACGGGGGAUUCUCCAAUCUUCUGUACAUCCUCCCCUUCAGCAGUCCUGUCACCUUCCCAGCUGGCCACUCGCUCCCCUGGCCAGGGUCCUUCUCACAACUGCAGCCUCUCCACAGUCUAACCUCAAGGCCCACAUUCUCUGACGAGUUCCCAACCUUGCAGCUCGUGCCCUCCACUCCCCUUUAGCCCCGCCGAGAUCUGCGGUCCUUGGAUAAGACCCAGGUUAGUACUUUCUCAUCCCCUGAUGGCCUUUCCCUCCUCUGUAUCAAGAGAGACUCUCCGGAUCAGCCACUGUGCCUGCUCCCUAACCCUACCCCCCCACUCUUGCUUCAUCAGAUUCACUCGGCUGAACCAUAACCCAUGUUAAAUCCCGGCUAUCUUUGUGUCUUUGUUCCUUCUCACAGUUGGUGGAUCUGGGUGGUGCUGGUGGCUUCCCCGGGGCCCCACUCGUGCUGUCAGCUGAGGGUCAGCUAGGCUGCGAGGAUACAAGUGGCACUAUGUA